RNAcentral lists this ribosomal RNA (395 nucleotides) under uncultured bacterium. RNAcentral's name for it is "bacterial SSU rRNA". It matches the Rfam family "Bacterial small subunit ribosomal RNA", at positions 505 to 898 of the family's 1533-position model. The record is from RNAcentral.
GUGUCAGCAGCCGCGGUAAAACGUAGGAGCCAAGCGUUAUCCGAAUUCACUGGGCGUAAAGCGCGUGCAGGCGGCUUGGUAAGUUGGAUGUGAAAUCUCCUGGCUCAACUGGGAGAGGCCGUUCAAUACUGUCAGGCUAGAGGGCGACAGAGGAAAGUGGAAUUCCCGGUGUAGUGGUGAAAUGCGUAGAUAUCGGGAGGAACACCAGUGGCGAAGGCGACUUUCUGGGUCGCACCUGACGCUCAGACGCGAAAGCUAGGGGAGCGAACGGGAUUAGAAACCCCGGUAGUCCUAGCCGUAAACGAUGUAGACUUGGUGUCGGCGGGGUAAAAGCCGUCGGUGCCGAAGCAAACGCGAUAAGUCUACCGCCUGGGGACUACGGCCGCAAGGUUAAA